UUGGCACUCGAAGACCCAGAGGACACUUUAAAGCGGGAAACCUGCAAAAAAGAUUAGAGGUCUAGGAAAAUUUCAGGAGCGGAUGAGAUCCCGAAAAGAAUCAGAGGACGUGACAGGCGGAGGCGGUUAGGCGUCCCGGCCCCGGCUAUCAUUCCGUCAAGGGUCCACUCCGAACAAACCAGAAGAUUGUAGAAGAUGCGGCUGUUGAUCCAAUCCGACUAAUGGAAAAGCAAGCGGUGAAGAAACGAGACUCGUGGACUGCAGGCGGUGGUUUAAACUCCUUACACCGGCCACAGCGUCGGAGAGAUAGAUGCUUUCCAAUCGACAAAGAGGCAGGACACACUCCUCACAACCUUCCUGCGAGCGCUUGAAGAACCGGAGCAGGAGCUCCACACAAACAGAGCGACACGACUGACGAGAGGAACCUCACCGUACAAAGGAGAACGAAACUAAGCAUGUCCUCAAAGCUCAGAGCCUCCGGAAGACGGCGAAUGAGACAUAACAGCAGAAGAGUGACGCCUAGAUUUGCUGACUUCAGAUCUAAAAACAGAGGUCCUCGGCGGCUGCCUCUGAAACCGCCUUUCUCAGAAGGAGAUGAGAAACUCUGAACUAACCGGAAAGUAAACAAACGACAGCGGAGAAGAGCAAGACGAGCGGGAACAAGGAGGAGGCAGCGACGCUCCCAGACUGUCUCCGUCGGCUCCGAGAACCAGAUCUACACAGAUCUGUCUUCACCCGCCGUAGAACGUACCCUGUCCGGAACCCUCCACCUUAGACCAAAGAAGAUACCUCGCUUUUGCUCCAGAGGAAACACAGACACCCGUGUGUUCAAUUUUAGGUCCGCCAGAGGUCAACACCGGUGGAGAUACAGAGCAAAACGCAUAUCGGAUCUACUUGGAGAAGAGAGUGGAGCGUGUGAGGCGGGAACCUGCGCAAGAAGAAACAAGAGGGUGACCGGCGGUGAGAGGGCCACCGGCCACCGGACAAAAAACGAGAUCUGGUUUUCUUGUGGAAAGAGUUUUAGAGAGAG
Molecule: long non-coding RNA, 1030 nt
Filed under: Brassica napus (rape)
Lineage: Eukaryota; Viridiplantae; Streptophyta; Magnoliopsida; Brassicales; Brassicaceae
Description: long non-coding RNA (BNAP_LNC022140)
Source: RNAcentral